Molecule: long non-coding RNA, 2123 nt
Filed under: Sus scrofa (pig)
Lineage: Eukaryota; Metazoa; Chordata; Mammalia; Artiodactyla; Suidae
Description: lncRNA (ENSSSCG00050027722.1)
Source: RNAcentral
AGAUGGUGGGUUAUAAGAGAAUGCAAUGGAAAACUUUCCAAUUAGGGCUAUAAUCUUUUUUUUUUUUCCUAAAAAUCAACUCAGGCAUUCAUGAGAUUGCUAUGUAGUACAGAUAUAAAAUAUGUAAAUGUGAUAUUGUUAAUGACUGUCUUUUUAAUUAAUCUUUUUAUUGUGAAACAAUUGUACACUAACGUGUAGUUUAAGAAAUAAUUUGGAGAAAUCCUAUGUGCCCUUUCCUCCAUCCCCCAUGAUAUUUGAGAAAACUAGAUCAGUAUGACAAUCAUGAUGUCAACAUUCAUACAUUCAAGUCACAGAGCUUUCCUGUCACUACAACGGUCCCUCCUGUUGCCCUUUUAUAACCAAACCCACUUCAUUCCCAUUCCCAACAUUCUCCAUAAGCAUAGGCCUUUCCAUAAUUUUGUCACUACAAAAGAUGUUAUGUAAAUGGAAUCACACAGUAUGUAACAUUUUGGGAUUGGCUUUUUCCACUCAACAUAAACCUCAGAAGGUUUAUCUAAGUUAUUAGGUAUGUCAACAGUUCAUUCCUUUUUUUUUUUUUUCAACUGAGUAGUAUUUCAUAGUAAGCGUAUACAAGAGUUUAUUUUACCAUUCACCUGUUGAAGAAUAUCUGGAUGGUUUCCAGUUUGACGAUGAUUGCGAAAAGCGUUCAUGGACAGAUUUUUGUGGGAACAUAAGAUUUCAUUUCAUUGCUCCCAAGUGCAGUGGCUAAAUUAUAUAGUGGUUGCAUACAUGUCUUUUUCCCUAUUUUUAUUGAGAUAUAAUUGACAUAUAACAUUGUGUGAGUUUAAAGUGUCCAGUGUGAUGAUUUGAUACACAUACGCACUGAAAUGGUUCCCACAACAAAGAGAGUUACCACAUGCUUCAUCUCGAAUAACAUGGUCAUUAUUUUGUCAUUGUUGUUAUGGUAAAAACAUUUAAGAACCAGUCUUUAGCAACAUUUAAAUAUAUAAUACUAAUAUAUAUUCCAUAAUUCUAUAAUAUAUAGAAUUGUUAGCUAUAGCCAUCAUGUUGCACAUGAGAUCCCCAGAACUUACUCAACUUAUAGUAGAACGUUUGUAUCUUUUGACCACUGUAUCCUCAUUACUCCCACCUGCCAUCCUUGGUAACAAUCUACUAUUUUUAUAUGAGUUCAUUGUUUUUAGAUGCCACAUAUAAAUGAAGUUAUAUAGUAUUUGUCUUUCUCUAUCUUAACUUAUUUCACUUAACCCAUGGAUUAAAUGGCAGGAUUUCCUUCUUUUUUAUGACUGAAUAAUAUUUCAUUAUAUAUACACACACGCGCACACACACACACACACACACACGCUAUCUAUCUAUCUACCAUUUUUCUUUACCAUUCAUUAUUGACACAUGUUUUUUCCAUAUCUUCAUUAUUAUGAAUAAUGCUGCAGUGAAUAUGGGAGUGCAGGUAUCCUUUCAAGGUGGUAAUUUCAUUUCCUUUCUAUAUAUACCCAGAUGUGGGUAGCUGGAUCAUAUAGUAGUUCUAUUUUUAACUUUUUGAGCAACAUCCAUGCUAUUUUCCAUAGUGGCAAUACAAGUUUCCAUCCCCACCAACAGUGUACCAGGAUUCAUUUUCUCCACAUCCUCACCAGCAUUUGUUAUCUCAUCUUGUUGAUAAUAGCUGGUCUAGCAGAUAUGAGUUGAUAUCCAUUGUGGUUUUAAUUUGCAGAGCGAUGGGUUCCCAUUGUGGCACAGUGGAAAUGAAUCCAACUAGUAACCAUGAGGUUGGGGAUUUGAUCCCUGGCCUCGCUCACUGGGUUAAGAAUCCAACAUUGCAUGAGCUGUGGUGUAGGUUGCAGACAUGGCUUGGAUCCUGCAUUGCUGUGGCUGUGGUAUAGGCCAGUAGCUGUAGCUUGGAUUCAACCCCUAGCCUGGGAACUUCCAUAUGCCAUGGUGCAGCCCUAAAAAGCAAAACAGAAAGGAGGGAGGGAGGGAAGGAAGGGAGGAGGGAAGGAAGGGAGGAAGGAAGGAAGGAAGGAAGGAAGGAAGGAAGGAAGGAAGGAAGGGAGAAAGAAUGGAAGGGAGAAAAAGAAAGGAAGGAAGGAAAGAGAAAGAAAGAAAGAAAAAGAAAGAAAGAAAGAAAGAAAGAAAGAAAGAAAGAAAGA